AGGGUUGUAGUUAAUUAUAACAUUUGAUUUGCAUUUAAAAAGUACUAAUAUUUAGUCAACCUUA
This 64-nucleotide transfer RNA is filed under the name Heleodromia immaculata. RNAcentral's name for it is "tRNA-Ala". It matches the Rfam family "tRNA". Rfam says of the family: Transfer RNA (tRNA) molecules are approximately 80 nucleotides in length. Their secondary structure includes four short double-helical elements and three loops (D, anti-codon, and T loops). The record is from RNAcentral. Lineage: Eukaryota; Metazoa; Arthropoda; Insecta; Diptera; Empididae.